UACAGCCAUAACACCCUGAACGCUCUAAAUCUUAUCUGAUCUCGGAAGCUAAGCAGGGUCAGCCCGGUAGUACUUGGAUGGGAGAAAAUAAUUUCCAUUCAUUUUGUGUUUUGUAUUCAGAAUUGGCUGCAA
This 132-nucleotide ribosomal RNA is filed under the name Ovis aries (sheep). Lineage: Eukaryota; Metazoa; Chordata; Mammalia; Artiodactyla; Bovidae. The record is from RNAcentral.